This 465-nucleotide ribosomal RNA is filed under the name Vreelandella stevensii. Its description in RNAcentral is "partial 16S ribosomal RNA". It matches the Rfam family "Bacterial small subunit ribosomal RNA", at positions 338 to 795 of the family's 1533-position model. Lineage: Bacteria; Pseudomonadati; Pseudomonadota; Gammaproteobacteria; Oceanospirillales; Halomonadaceae. The record is from RNAcentral.
CCUACGGGGGGCUGCAGUGGGGAAUAUUGGACAAUGGGCGAAAGCCUGAUCCAGCCAUGCCGCGUGUGUGAAGAAGGCCUUCGGGUUGUAAAGCACUUUCAGUGGGGAAGAAAGCCUUGGGGCUAAUACCCUCGAGGAAGGACAUCACCCACAGAAGAAGCACCGGCUAACUCCGUGCCAGCAGCCGCGGUAAUACGGAGGGUGCGAGCGUUAAUCGGAAUUACUGGGCGUAAAGCGCGCGUAGGCGGUCUGAUAAGCCGGUUGUGAAAGCCCCGGGCUCAACCUGGGAACGGCAUCCGGAACUGUCAGGCUAGAGUUCAGGAGAGGAAGGUAGAAUUCCCGGUGUAGCGGUGAAAUGCGUAGAGAUCGGGAGGAAUACCAGUGGCGAAGGCGGCCUUCUGGACUGACACUGACGCUGAUGUGCGAAAGCGUGGGUAGCAAACAGGAUUAGAUACCCCAGUAGUC